This 253-nucleotide ribosomal RNA is filed under the name uncultured bacterium. RNAcentral's name for it is "partial 16S ribosomal RNA". It matches the Rfam family "Bacterial small subunit ribosomal RNA", at positions 524 to 776 of the family's 1533-position model. The record is from RNAcentral.
UACGUAGGGGGCAAGCGUUGUCCGGAUUUAUUGGGCGUAAAGAGCGUGUAGGCGGCUAGAUAGGUCCGUUGUGAAAACUCGAGGCUCAACCUCGAGACGUCGAUGGAAACCAUCUGGCUAGAGUCCGGAAGAGGAGAAUGGAAUUCCUGGUGUAGCGGCGAAAUGCGCAGAUAUCAGGAAGAACACCCGUGGCGAAGGCGGUUCUCUGGGACGGUACUGACGCUGAGACGCGAAAGCGUGGGGAGCGAACAGG